CUUCGGUUAUAAGAUCCCUCAAAGAUGAUGAGGUUAAUAGGUUCGAGGUGGAAGCAUGGUGACAUGUGGAGCUGACGAAUACUAAUCGAUCGAAGACUUAAUCAAAUU
This 108-nucleotide ribosomal RNA is filed under the name Staphylococcus aureus. RNAcentral's name for it is "partial 23S ribosomal RNA". It matches the Rfam family "Bacterial large subunit ribosomal RNA", at positions 2820 to 2925 of the family's 2925-position model. The record is from RNAcentral. Lineage: Bacteria; Bacillati; Bacillota; Bacilli; Caryophanales; Staphylococcaceae.